CCUACGGGAGGCAGCAGUGAGGAAUAUUGGUCAAUGGGCGAGAGCCUGAACCAGCCAAGUCGCGUGAGGGAGUACUGCCCUAUGGGUUGUAAACCUCUUUUGUCGGGGAGCAAAAGCCGGACGUGUCCGGCUGUGAGAGUACCCGAAGAAAAAGCAUCGGCUAACACCGUUCCAGCAGCCGCGGUAAUACGGAGGAUGCGAGCGUUAUCCGGAUUUAUUGGGUUAAAAGGGUGCGCAGGCGGAGUUUUAAGUCAGCGGUAAAAUCGUGGGGCUCAACCCCAUCCAGCCGUUGAAACUGGGGAUCUAGAGUGUGCGAGAGGUAUGCGGAAUGCGUGGUGUAGCGGUGAAAUGCAUAGAUAUCACGCAGAACCCCGAUUGCGAAGGCAGCAUACCGGUGCACAACUGACGCUCAGGCACGAAAGCGUGGGUAUCGAACAGGAUUAGAUACCCUGGUAGUC
RNAcentral lists this ribosomal RNA (458 nucleotides) under uncultured bacterium. Its description in RNAcentral is "partial 16S ribosomal RNA". It matches the Rfam family "Bacterial small subunit ribosomal RNA", at positions 338 to 795 of the family's 1533-position model. The record is from RNAcentral.